AGCAGUAGCCACGGGAAUACGGAGGGUGCAAGCGUCAAUCGGAAUUACUGGGCGUAAAGCGCACGCAGGCGGUUUGUUAAGUCUGCUGUGAAAUCCCCGGGCUCAACCUGGGAAUGGCAGUGGAUACUGGCAAGCUAGAGUGUGUCAGAGGAUGGUGGAAUUCCCGGUGUAGCGGUGAAAUGCGUAUAGAUCGGGAGGAACAUCAGUGGCGAAGGCGGCCAUCUGGGACAACACUGACGCUGAGGCACGAAAGCGUGGGGAGCAAACAGGAUUAGAUACCCCAGUAGUCCCUGUCUCUUAUAC
This 303-nucleotide ribosomal RNA is filed under the name uncultured bacterium. RNAcentral describes it as "partial 16S ribosomal RNA". It matches the Rfam family "Bacterial small subunit ribosomal RNA", at positions 507 to 807 of the family's 1533-position model. The record is from RNAcentral.